This 74-nucleotide transfer RNA is filed under the name Candidatus Woesearchaeota archaeon. RNAcentral's name for it is "tRNA-His". It matches the Rfam family "tRNA". Rfam says of the family: Transfer RNA (tRNA) molecules are approximately 80 nucleotides in length. Their secondary structure includes four short double-helical elements and three loops (D, anti-codon, and T loops). The record is from RNAcentral. Lineage: Archaea; Nanobdellati; Candidatus Woesearchaeota.
GUGGUAUUAGUUCAGUGGUAGAACGCGGGACUGUGGAUCCCGAGACAGGGGUUCGAUUCCCCUAUACCACCCCA